ACGGGAGGCAGCAGUGGGGAAUAUUGCACAAUGGGGGAAACCCUGAUGCAGCGACGCCGCGUGAGUGAAGAAGUAUUUCGGUAUGUAAAGCUCUAUCAGCAGGGAAGAUGAUGACGGUACCUGACUAAGAAGCCCCGGCUAACUACGUGCCAGCAGCCGCGGUAAUACGUAGGGGGCAAGCGUUAUCCGGAUUUACUGGGUGUAAAGGGAGCGUAGGCGGCCAGACAAGUCAGAUGUGAAAACCCUGGGCUUAACCCGGGACCUGCAUUUGAAACUGUAGGGCUAGAGUACUGGAGAGGCAAGUGGAAUUCCUAGUGUAGCGGUGAAAUGCGUAGAUAUUAGGAAGAACACCAGUGGCGAAGGCGACUUGCUGGACAGAGACUGACGCUGAGGCUCGAAAGCGUGGGGAGCAAACAGGAUUAGAUACCCUGGUA
RNAcentral lists this ribosomal RNA (434 nucleotides) under uncultured Lachnospiraceae bacterium. RNAcentral describes it as "partial 16S ribosomal RNA". It matches the Rfam family "Bacterial small subunit ribosomal RNA", at positions 341 to 792 of the family's 1533-position model. The record is from RNAcentral. Lineage: Bacteria; Bacillati; Bacillota; Clostridia; Lachnospirales; Lachnospiraceae.